Molecule: ribosomal RNA, 445 nt
Filed under: uncultured bacterium
Lineage: Bacteria
Description: partial 16S ribosomal RNA
Rfam family: Bacterial small subunit ribosomal RNA
Source: RNAcentral
GUGAGGAAUAUUGCGCAAUGGAGGCAACUCUGACGCAGCCAUGCCGCGUGCAGGAAGAAGGCGCUACGCGUUGUAAACUGCUUUUAACCGGGAAGAAACCCCAGGACGUGUCCUGGGUUGACGGUACCGGAGGAAUAAGCACCGGCUAACUUCGUGCCAGCAGCCGCGGUAAUACGAAGGGUGCAAGCGUUAUCCGGAUUCAUUGGGUUUAAAGGGUGCGUAGGCGGAGCGUUAAGUCAGUGGUGAAAUCCUGCAGCUUAACUGUAGACUUGCCAUUGAUACUGGCGCUCUUGAGUGCGCUUGAAGUGGGCGGAAUGUGCCGUGUAGCGGUGAAAUGCUUAGAUAUGGCACAGAACACCAAUUGCGAAGGCAGCUCACUAAGGCGAUACUGACGCUGAGGCACGAAAGCGUGGGGAUCGAACAGGAUUAGAAACACGGGUAGUCC